This 1518-nucleotide long non-coding RNA is filed under the name Elaeis guineensis (African oil palm). Its description in RNAcentral is "long non-coding RNA (EGUI_LNC020455)". Lineage: Eukaryota; Viridiplantae; Streptophyta; Magnoliopsida; Arecales; Arecaceae. The record is from RNAcentral.
CCUCAUUUCUUCCUUUCGGGGUUCUUUAUAAAACACCAAAUCUUUUCCCCUUAUUUUUUUCUCGAAACGCAUGACCUCCCAUCGACCAAGGCAUUACAUCUGGAAUCCAUCCUGGGUUGGAGGUGCUGGAGCGGGGUGACGUUCGAUGCAUCGGCAACGAUCAGACCUACAAAAAAAAUCUCCAUCGAAGUUAACUCUGGUGGGGACUCUCCGAUGUUUAAGUCAGAUCUUCCGCAAUAAGUGGAAAAGAGCGAGCAUUUAUGAGAAGGAGAGAAAGCAUACCUUUUUUAAGGUCCCCAGAUUACCUUUUAUAGGUGAAGUUAAAGCCUUGAGGAGAAGAAAGAGACCAUAAAAAACCUUUUUGCCCUUAAUUAUAUCUCUGAGCGGCAUCGUGCCUGGUCUUUUGACUUUUUUAAGUAUUAUCACUUUAUAGCACAUGGGGGGCCAUUGUAGUUAGAGGUAAGAGCCAUCUGACUAGGCCCUGAGAGUGACAUGGGCUUCUUAGGGAUGAUGUGACUUGAUGUAACCCGAUGGGAUAGCAUAGCAGUCACGCUUGAGGUUCAACUGCUCGGUCGAUGCCCGUGUCCUGAGGUCCCAACUCACAAGUGGGGAUCAUGGUCGGUGGGAGGAUGAGAGCCCGAAGUCAAGACUGGAUGAGCCUAUCAAGUGGUGCCACCCAAUCAUCGAUUUAGGUCGAUCACUAAUCGGAGUAAGAUGAAGGAGAUUGAAAAAAUCCAACAUGAGCAUUCUGCUUACUAGUAGUUCUGGAUUAAGUCAAUUAGCAGAUAAUAUUGGAGAGACAGGUCGGCCAUGGAUCGAUGUUAUUGGAGAGGUACAUCGAUCAUGGGUCAAUAUAACAUUUAACUCAGAUAAUAAUAAUCUACUGCCACGUGUCUAGGUGAUGAUGAGGUCAGACUUAUAAUGAGCUCAAUCUCCUGAUGAGAUCAGCUUUCUGAUGUUCUCGACCUUCUGAUGAGGUCGGCCUCCUGAUGAGGUCAGCUUUUCAAUAAUCUCGAUCUUCUGAUGAGGUCGGCCUUCUGAUGAGAUCGGCCUUCUGAUGAGUUCUUUAGAGGAAGAAAGGUAGUCGGCUAAGCGACGAGGAUCCACCCCAACACUUACCCCCCACUCCUGAGUCUGAUUAUGUAGCCUUAAUCGGGUGAAAGGAGUUAGUCAUCGUGUGGAUCCGAGUUGCUUCUUCGAUGAUCUGCCACUUUGUCGUUUGUAGAACAAGUCAUCAUUUUGUAGAACAUCAUGUUGAAUUUGAAGCAUAGUCAUCGAUCAUUCCAUCUAAUCAGAUCAUUUAUAGUAGAUCAUUUGUCAUAGAUCAUUUGUCGUAGAUCAUUUUAUUGAAUCAAAACUUAGUCAUAGAGAAAAUAUCUUCAUUUUAUUUUGGAUCAAUUGAUCCUUGGUCAAUCGGUAGCAAGCCAACUAACCACAACUUUGUUUGCCUAGGUCUGCAUACAAACCAUAGCUUAUAUGCUUGCGACCCUUGGACCGUAGCUGGUAUGCUUGCAGUUG